CCUACGGGUGGCAGCAGUGGGGGAUAUUGCACAAUGGGGGAAACCCUGAUGCAGCGACGCCGCGUGGGCGAAGAAGUAUUUCGGUAUGUAAAGCCCUAUCAGCAGGGAAGAAGAAAUGACGGUACCUGAGUAAGAAGCACCGGCUAAAUACGUGCCAGCAGCCGCGGUAAUACGUAUGGUGCAAGCGUUAUCCGGAUUUAUUGGGUUUAAAGGGUGCGUAGGCUGUGAGGUAAGUCUGAUGUUAAAGCCCGGGGCUCAACUCCGGUUCGGCAUUGGAUACUAUCUAGCUAGAAUGUGGUAGAGGUAAAGGGAAUUCCUGGUGUAGCGGUGAAAUGCGUAGAUAUCAGGAGGAACAUCGGUGGCGAAAGCGCUUUACUGGACCAUUAUUGACGCUGAGGAACGAAAGCCAGGGGAGCAAAUGGGAUUAGAUACCCUGGUAGUC
RNAcentral lists this ribosomal RNA (442 nucleotides) under uncultured bacterium. RNAcentral's name for it is "partial 16S ribosomal RNA". It matches the Rfam family "Bacterial small subunit ribosomal RNA", at positions 338 to 795 of the family's 1533-position model. The record is from RNAcentral.